GAAUGUACAAGAACAUUGCACAAACUUCUACAAAAUGACUAUCAAAUCGGCAUUCCCCGUUCAUUCAUGCUCCAUUUUAUCAAUUAAUGAAAAAAUUGUGUAAAGACAGAUUAAAUUACAGCCUAUUCAAAAAAGGAAAAAAUUGUUCAUAUUAAUAAUCCUCACUUCAAAUUUUGAAUGCCUAAGUACGGCUGAAUCUAUCUUCAAAAGUUGUGGGGUCAAAUUUAUGCCAAAAAAUUAGCUUCAAAAGAGUAAAUAAUAAGUAAAAAUAUUAAAUUUGUAGAACUCGGCAAUUCAUGGCCUCCAAAUAAAUAAAUGACAGUCCUAGAUCUUUAUAUGUACAAUGACAUGAAGAUUUUAAUCUGACACUUGAUAUUUACAAUGACAUUAAAAACUGAACUUUGAAGUCUUAAUUAUCCAUGAAUCUAAUUAUGCAUAGAGGUAAACAUUAGGAUGAAAAGUUUAAUUAAGCUCAAGAAUGACAUUUUUCGUAUCGUUGCGGUCAUUGUACAAGUAGUCAUUGUUAGCACUUUAGAGUGUAUAUAUUUUGGAAUACAAAAAAGAUAUCAAAAUAUUUAAAGCAACCUUACUAUGUCCAAAACAUUAAUAGAUUAUUUAGUUUAGUGCUAAGUAAGACGAAGGGCAAAGAUCAUCCUUAUGGUUAUUGAGCAAAGAUGAAGAAGGGUACAUAUUUGUGCCCAUCCUGAGUCAUCUUCCUGUUUCCU
This 725-nucleotide long non-coding RNA is filed under the name Olea europaea (common olive). RNAcentral describes it as "long non-coding RNA (OEUR_LNC003311)". Lineage: Eukaryota; Viridiplantae; Streptophyta; Magnoliopsida; Lamiales; Oleaceae. The record is from RNAcentral.